ACUGGGCGGCAAAACAAUUUUUGGGCGGCCAGAGCUGGAUUCAAUUUUUGAAUCUGUUUAUUCAUCCCCCAUCCCAAGACACUUUUUCUGUUCCUAUUGUUUCUUCUUCCAAGAGAAACCCUUAAACACAAACCCUCCCAACCAUCUUCUCCACCAAUUCUGUUACUACCCUUUCUUGAGAAACCCUAAAACACAAACCCUCGCAUCCAUCUUCUCCACCGAUGACACCACCAGCCACCGUCGAAACCAUCUUCUUCUCUUAAAGAGCCGAUGAUCUUGGGUUUGUUGUUUUAGGACAAAAUCAUGGCUGGUUCUCCUUAACAUACCCUCUGUUAGCCUUUACUGAUGCCAGAGAGUAGUCCAUUGAUGAUGAUGAGUUCUUCGCUGCUUCAAUGAAGAGUUGUUGUGUUAUAUGGCUGCUGAUGCUGGUGAUGGUUAGUAAGACCUGUCAGUCAGAACCCUCACCCGCACCUCCGACGGAAAACGACACGAGAUGGGAACUACUUGAAGCCGCUGCUAACCGGAUUCACAUUGAGGAUGGGUCUAUGACAAGUAUACCACCAGGAGAGCAUCACUACUACUUGUGGAAUCCUGAACAUUUUAUUCAAACGAGCCGUGGGUCCUCAUCUAUUUUUGUGUACCGAGACCAAGAAAAACCACCGUUGAUUACAUAUCCAUGCAGCUUUAAACCAUAUGCUGUGUUUUCAAGGACUAUUCUUCUGUCCCGAAGCAGCUUCAUUGCUCCUUCAUAAUUUCUGCAUUUAUCACAUCAGUCCCCCUCCCCCUGGACACGAGUUAGGAGCAGCAGCCAUAUGUCCUGAUGAUCCGGUUCUGUCUGUGGAGGAUCUUUGUGGUUAGAUUCUCGAGGUCCUUCACUAUUUUAGAUCUAGAUGCGGAAAAAAAACCCUUUAGACGGAGGACCCUCUUUUCUUGAAAAAGCUCUAGAUUUCUUCAGAAACACGGAACCAAGCUAUUGUCACAGGUCUACUUGAGGAGUUUGAGACAAUCUUUGAUGAUUAUGCUAUGCUCGAAUGUUGUACAUCGGCAGAUUCUUGGAUAGACAAUAGUGGGAGCGAAGAUUCAGUGGAUGAUGAACAUAAAGUAAACAGUUACCAUGAUGCUGAAAACGAAGCUGAUCAAGAAUGCGACGAGGAUCCUGAGCAUGUACUGAGUGGAUUUGAGUUUCUUGACGACCGGUUGAAACAAAACGGUCAUGCUGUCAUGGUGGUUGCCGAAGGGGCUGGUCAGGAUAUGAUCCCACGAACCGAUGAGCAGAAACAAAAGCGAGAUGAAUAUGGGAAUCCAGUGUUUUUAGAUGUUGGGGUGUGGUUGAAAUCGGAGUUGAAGAAAUGGUGGAGUAAGGAUCAUGAGGGUGAGUUGUUUACCGUCAACUAUAUCGACCCUUCAUACAUGUUGAGGAUCUGAUGCGGUUUUAACCAUACCAAAGGGCACCCUCUUCCCCUUGUGUGGAAUGAAUCUUGCUUUUGCCCGUGAGUUAAUCGGACCAGCAAUGUACUUUGGUCUCAUGGGCGAUGGUCAGCCAAUUGGGCCGUACGAUGACAUGUGGGCUGGCUGGUGCAUCAAGGUAUAACGUUUAUCUAUGUACACAUAAAGUGAAAGAAUGCGCGGAUCGGGUAACAUGUCAAUAUAUGGAUUAUACGAUCGGGUAACAUGUCAAUAUAUGGAUUAUUAAUGGAUUGCUACACCACCCCCUUGCAUCAUUCAUCAUGGUUCGCAUUGAUUAAACCAUGACAACCAUAGACCUCCUUUCCUUUUUUUAAUUUCUCCCUUUCCUUUUCACAAAAAUAAAUUAAAAUAAGAGAAUAAUGGUUUGAGUGAUUACGACACCCUUAGGGUAGUGGUUUUGGAUAGAUUAAAAGUGGGUGACAUGACGCUGAUAUGAAGGAUCAUGAGGAUCAUGAUCACAACUUGUACUUUUAAACUUCUAAGGCUAAAGGGUGUGGGGGCAUGGUUUGGGUAAUUAAUGUCACAUAGGACCAUUAAUGCAUUAAACCCUUGACUCAUCCACCAUGGUUGACAUGGAUUAAACCAUGGCAACCAUGAGCCACCUUUCCUUUUUCAAUAUUUCCUUUUCCUUUUCACAAAAAUAAAUUAAAAUAAGAAAAUAGUAGUUUGGAUCAUGACCACACACUUAGAGUGGUGGUUUUGGAUGAUGGAUUAGAAGUGAGUGACAUGCUUGAAAAAGAGUUUUUUUUUUUUGCCAAGAAUCCCUCUAACCCUUUCUGGAGAUGACAUGUUCCCAUUCAAGCUGAAAAGAAAACAAUUUCCAAUUCGAAUUAGCUUUUCCACUACGAUUAAUAAAGCUCAAGGUCAAACAAUUCCGCACGUUGGUAUUUAUCUACCGGAUUCUGUAUUUUCACAUGGACAACUUUAUGUGGCGUUAUCAAGAGGGAUUUCAAGACAAAAUACGAAGGUGUUGGUACAUCUAGCCAAAGAUUUUAAACAACGCGAAGUUUACACAUCAAAUGUUGUCUACCAGGAAGUGUUGCAUGAUUAAUGAACCGCAUUGGUAUCAAAACGAAGUAGAGGAGAAGAUACAAGAAAGUCAUGAGCGAACGGAUGUAUUGGUAAAACAGAAAGAGAUACAAGAGACUCCCCGUAUUUUGUUUUGGUGUUUCAUCCAGCUACUUGCUUGUUUUG
Molecule: long non-coding RNA, 2661 nt
Organism: Helianthus annuus (common sunflower)
Lineage: Eukaryota; Viridiplantae; Streptophyta; Magnoliopsida; Asterales; Asteraceae
Exons: 10
Source: RefSeq, a predicted model, not a curated record